Long non-coding RNA from Panthera uncia (snow leopard), 524 nucleotides. RefSeq lists it as uncharacterized. The transcript has 3 exons. The record is from RefSeq and is a predicted model, not a curated record. NCBI's taxonomy places the organism in Eukaryota, Metazoa, Chordata, Mammalia, Carnivora, Felidae.
UAUCACAAGGAGCUGGAACCUGCCCACCAUUCUCCUGGGAAUAGACCACCUCUCCUAAGGGGCUGCCAUCUAAGUGAAAACCAAACUCUAUCAGAAACAGAUUUUUAAGAUUCUGAUUACAAGACCUCCACCUGCCAACUGAUGAAUCCUACCCUCUGGGGAAGAGACUCUGCAAUCUCUACCUUUUAAAGGACUCCCAAGUGAUCUUGAUGCUAGAUUGCAGUGGACCCAUCUGAGCUCCAAGACUUGCAGAACUGAGAUAAAUCCUCUGGGGAACCCCCUUGGAAAGUUGGGGAGCUAGACAUGCAAAGCAACACUGUCCCUCCUCUGGGAGAAGCUAGGAGCUUCGAGGUCUCUUUCUGAUCCUAUGGCAUUGACUCAGGCUGGAGUCCCUGAGAUUUGUAAUCCUAAACUGGAGCCAGAGACUGUUUUCCUAUCAGCAAAACAGAGGAAACCAUAUUUGCAAAUUCUUCAAGAUCUCCCAAGCCAAUCUGUUACAAAAAUGAAAACUAUUAUUAUGACAA